AAUAAGAUGCCUGAUUAAAGGAUUAUUUUGAUAGAAUAAAUUAUGUAGUUGUUUUACUCUUAUUA
RNAcentral lists this transfer RNA (65 nucleotides) under Tettigades dumfriesi. Its description in RNAcentral is "tRNA-Ile". Lineage: Eukaryota; Metazoa; Arthropoda; Insecta; Hemiptera; Cicadidae. The record is from RNAcentral.